AUGGGUGCAACCAAAGUUCAGGAAGCUAAGGUUCACAGGGCGCACGUACGUACCACACUCACCAAGGAUGGGUGUGUCCAGAGGCUGGAGCCUCUUGCACUUCGCUCGGCAGGGGCCGGUUGGCCAAUCCAAGGUGAAAUGGUAGCGAGGUUGAAGGCUGCUGGCCUUCUGCCACUGGCCCGAAUGAUGGAAGGAAUUCCCAGGGAUUUCCUUGACAGGGAUCUUCUCAGCGCGCUAGUUGAUCGUUGGAAUCCAAGGACUCAUACAUUUCAGUUUCCAUGGGGAGAAAUGGGAGUGAGCCUCAAGGACGUCAGCAUGCUUCUAGGGCUACCAAUCAAGGGAGACCCCAUCGCUAAGCCAGCUGAUCCGAAAAACUGGGCGCAAGAUAUGGGCACGAGGUUUUGCAAGCACGUCCCAGAAUAUGACUCGGUGCUGAAUGUUUCAAAUACACCCAGCAGUGAGGCUAAGAAACCCACGGAGGAGCUGCGCGGGUUCUCAAAGAAACCGGCAAAGAGAAGAAAAAUAUCAGCGAAGCAGACUGAGCACCCACAGCUCAAGGAGUCUGUGCAGUUGGCCACAAAGAAAUCCACCAAGCUCAAGGAGCCCGAGGAGGAGGAGGAUUCCGCAAAGCUGCGUGGGCCCACAUUGGCAUGGUUGCGUAGCACGUAUGGGAAGCUUGUCAGGCUGAAGGAACUUACCGAGGAGCAGAGCCAGUGCGCCGUAGAGAUAUACGUGCUCUGGCUCUUUGGCUGGGUAAUGUUCACCAGCACCCAUGGUGACUGCGUCGAGCCUCGACUCAUCGAGUAUGCGAUGGAUAUUGCCUACUCAAAGAUAGAGGACUUACAAGUGUCUUUGUCCACUGAGAAAGGCUGUUGCUGA
This 879-nucleotide ribosomal RNA is filed under the name Triticum aestivum (bread wheat). RNAcentral describes it as "partial small subunit ribosomal RNA". The record is from RNAcentral. Lineage: Eukaryota; Viridiplantae; Streptophyta; Magnoliopsida; Poales; Poaceae.